CAGUCGCCGCGGUAAUACGUAGGUGGCAAGCGUUGUCCGGAAUUAUUGGGCGUAAAGCGCGCGCAGGUGGUUUAAUAAGUCUGAUGUGAAAGCCCACGGCUCAACCGUGGAGGGUCAUUGGAAACUGUUAAACUUGAGUGCAGGAGAGAAGAGUGGAAUUCCUAGUGUAGCGGUGAAAUGCGUAGAGAUUAGGAGGAACACCAGUGGCGAAGGCGGCUUUUUGGCCUGUAACUGACACUGAGGCGCGAAAGCGUGGGGAGCAAACAGGAUUAGAUACCCCUGUAGUCCCUGUCUCUUAUAC
Molecule: ribosomal RNA, 301 nt
Filed under: uncultured bacterium
Lineage: Bacteria
Description: partial 16S ribosomal RNA
Rfam family: Bacterial small subunit ribosomal RNA
Source: RNAcentral